RNAcentral lists this ribosomal RNA (301 nucleotides) under uncultured bacterium. RNAcentral describes it as "partial 16S ribosomal RNA". It matches the Rfam family "Bacterial small subunit ribosomal RNA", at positions 509 to 807 of the family's 1533-position model. The record is from RNAcentral.
CAGUCGCCGCGGGAAUACAGAGGGUGCGAGCGUUAAUCGGAUUUACUGGGCGUAAAGCGUGCGUAGGCGGCUUCUUAAGUCGGAUGUGAAAUCCCUGAGCUUAACUUAGGAAUUGCAUUCGAUACUGGGAAGCUAGAGUAUGGGAGAGGAUGGUAGAAUUCCAGGUGUAGCGGUGAAAUGCGUAGAGAUCUGGAGGAAUACCGAUGGCGAAGGCUGCCAUCUGGCCUAAUACUGACGCUGAGGUACGAAAGCAUGGGGAGCAAACAGGAUUAGAUACCCCUGUAGUCCCUGUCUCUUAUAC